Long non-coding RNA from Lemur catta (Ring-tailed lemur), 908 nucleotides. RefSeq lists it as uncharacterized. The record is from RefSeq and is a predicted model, not a curated record. NCBI's taxonomy places the organism in Eukaryota, Metazoa, Chordata, Mammalia, Primates, Lemuridae. The transcript has 5 exons.
UGCGGUCGGCUGCGGUCCUGCCCGGCUCGGAGGAACGGCCGGCGCGGGGCUCCGCGGGCGCGCGUUUCACCGACGGAAGCGCGCAGGCCGCGGGGCAGAGCCGGCCCCGCCACGACCGGGGCGUGCGCUCGCUGGGGCUAAUUAGGUGGUCGCGGCUGCCGCUGCGGCAGGGACUAAAACGUCUCGGCAAAUCCUUCCUGAGGGGUGGGGAACCGGGCAGUGGUGUGUUAUAACGUUGCCAGCGGGUGGUGGAAAAAUACAACGACAGGACAACUCUGGCUCCUUCUGUUCUUUCUGCUUCACCCUGUGUUGCCCAUCGUUCACAAGUUGUUGCACUUGUGGGAGUUUCUACCACCAGGAUGGCGGGGCCUUGCAUGGUGGCUGCAAUGCCAGGGAAGAAGUGCCAUCUCCAUUGUGUAAAAUAGUCAGAAAAUGGGAACUGUAUAUUGGGCACAAGCUAAAUGACAGGAGACAAGGCUGUGGUGGAGUAAACCAUGGACAGCGCUGGCUACCAGCUCAGGACGGGGCAUGGAGGGCUCCCUGGUGAACAGAACUUACAGAUCGUAAUACUUCCACCCUGGCUGACUUCAAACUGCCAGUAUGAUACCUUGAAUGGGGAGCUGGGAAGAGAGGUGCACAACUGGCUCCAGAGACCACGCAAGCCUGCUCCAGCACACCUGCUCCGGCACACCGCUGAAUCCACGCCAAGGGUCAAGAGUCAUGAAACAGCACAGUGUGUUUGGGGUACUACAAGGUGAUAAGAUCUGCUGGAGCACAAGGAACAAGCGCCCUUACUGUCUAGAAAGCCGAGCUCCUCUGCUCAGCUCAUCGGAACAUUCCUUCUAUCUUAAAGAAUGAGACGUUGCUGUAGUCUAGAAUCACAAAUAAACUCUUUUUAAGAUCUUUAA